UAAACCUUUGAAGUGAGUUAUGUGGGUCAAGGUAUAAUGAUUAAUUGGAGUUCUAGUUCAUUUACUUUGAGAAAAUUAGAGUGUUCAAAGCAUGAUUCACAUUUGAAUAAUACAGCAUGGGAUAAUAUAAUAUGACAUUAGUUAAAAUUUGUUGGUUUCUUUGGCUAAUGUAAUGAUUAAAAGGGACAGUUGGAGUAAUUUAUAUUGGUUGGGGAGGGGUGAAAUCCUAUGAUCCUUCCAAGAUAAACUAGUGCGAAAGCAUUUUACUAGGAUGUUUUCAUUAAUCAAGAACGAAAGUUAGGGGGAUCGAAGAUGAUCAGAUACCGUCGUAGUCUCAACCAUAAACUAUGUCGACUAAGGAUGAUAAAAUAUUAAAUGAAUGAUUUUUGUCGCACUUUAAAAGAAAUUAAAGUAAUUCAG
This 420-nucleotide ribosomal RNA is filed under the name uncultured eukaryote. Its description in RNAcentral is "bacterial SSU rRNA". It matches the Rfam family "Eukaryotic small subunit ribosomal RNA", at positions 691 to 1111 of the family's 1831-position model. The record is from RNAcentral.